This 494-nucleotide ribosomal RNA is filed under the name uncultured bacterium. RNAcentral describes it as "partial 16S ribosomal RNA". It matches the Rfam family "Bacterial small subunit ribosomal RNA", at positions 899 to 1397 of the family's 1533-position model. The record is from RNAcentral.
ACUCAAAGGAAUAGACGGGGACCCGCACAAGCGGUGGAUGAUGUGGAUUAAUUCGAUGCAACGCGAAGAACCUUACCUACCCUUGACAUGUACGGAAGCUCAUCGAGAGGUGAGUGUGCCCGAAAGGGAGCCGUAACACAGGUGCUGCAUGGCUGUCGUCAGCUCGUGUCGUGAGAUGUUGGGUUAAGUCCCGCAACGAGCGCAACCCUUGUCCCUAGUUGCUACGCAAGGGCACUCUAGGGAGACUGCCGGUGACAAACCGGAGGAAGGUGGGGAUGACGUCAAGUCCUCAUGGCCCGUAUGGGUAGGGCCUCACACGUCAUACAAUGGCCGGUACAGAGGGUUGCGAAGCCGCGAGGUGAAGCCAAUCCCAGAAAGCCGGUCGUAGUCCGGAUUGAAGUCUGCAACUCGACUUCAUGAAGUCGGAAUCGCUAGUAAUCGCGGAUCAGCAUGUCGCGGUGAAUACGUUCCCGGGUCUUGCACACACCGCCCGU